Molecule: long non-coding RNA, 3852 nt
Filed under: Accipiter nisus (Eurasian sparrowhawk)
Lineage: Eukaryota; Metazoa; Chordata; Aves; Accipitriformes; Accipitridae
Description: lncRNA (ENSANIG00000013725.1)
Source: RNAcentral
CAGUUGCUGCUCGGACUGCGGGUGGCCAUCGCAGCCGUCCGUGGAUGAGGAUGGCCUUUCGCUCCACACCCGCUAAGCACUCAGAAGGCAUAUUCGAUUUCUGAGGCUUUACGGUAGUUACCUUCUGGCCAGCAGUUCAUUCUGUAUUGCUUAACUGUACCGGCUUUGGGAGCAAGAAUGGUUAGGAUUACUGGUUAAACGGAAAGGGAAAAAGAGCCCUUUGUCUUCUUGGCAGGAAGAAGCAGCCCCGUGGCCGGCUGUAAAGGAGAAACCCCUCAGCGAGCCCUGUCGCUGGGCAUGGUCGUGAAAGGAAGGUUUCGGUAAAAGAAUGGAGCAAAUACACGGGGAGAGCUAUCUAGGUUUGCUGAAGAGCAGAGUGGUUGUGAACAUGCAGAGAACUGUAACAUGGAAAUCCAGCUGCUGCCUCCAGAGAUGUGGAGACCUGCAGUGUCCAGAAGAAGGUGCCCAUCCCUCCUGUCAUGGCUGUGCUGGAAUCCAUUCCCUUUCACCAGGAGCACAGAAAAAGUGGAAGACAGAACAGCAACAACAAAAACUUUCCAUAGGCAAGAUUCCUAAAUGCUAAAUAUGAGAACAUCAGAAGACCUUAGAAGCAAAGUAACUAAGAAAGUAGGAUUAAUGUUGAAAGGUGUCACUCUUUUUUGGAUCAGGAGAAGCGUGGAUUGAGAGUCAGCAGUGCAUUUUUCCAGGUUAGUGGUGAUUAAUUUGCACACACUAAUAGGGGUUUCAUGUCCACGUUACAACAUAGUUAAUUAAAUUUGUAUCUGGCUGAUUAGGCAACACAUGCUAUCUUUACCACAAGCAAAAAGGCCCCACACACGGGAUAGUGGAGUGCACAUGUAUUUGACUACAACCCAUUUAUAAUGUGUCCCAACCUUGUAGAAUAAUUUUAAGCAGUAAGUUUGUCAAAAUUCUCUUUAGUUGAGCAUAGCUGGUUACAGAGUGAAGUGAAGUUUAUUUGUGAUGUUGCUGCCUUCUUCUGUAUGUUAUUUCUGAUACUCAAAUACCUGCCUACCUUUGACAGGAAAAUGAGUAUCACAGGAUGCUAUUCAAGUAAAAGCAAAAUAAGGAAAUAGUUUACAGAACUUGCAUCAAGAGUGCUGCAGUCUAAACAUUUACACUUACAACCCUCUGUGUUGGCUUCAUACAACUUUUAUUUUACUCUACAGGGGCAAAUGCAGUGGAACAGCAUCUAUUUUUGCUGAAGGCUUAAGCUGCGGAAUCAGCGAUGGCAGGUUCUCGGCAAGGCAGAGCACUGAUUCAGCGACCCUUUGAUAAGGCUCAGCUUUGGAAAGCACUGAGCCACCCUGGCAGUGAAUCAUGCAAAAGGCCACUCACAUCUGAAUCAUGCAAAAGACCACUCACAUCUUGAUAAUCGGCGUUUUGAAUAUCCAGCCUAGCCAUAUCCAACGAGCGAUCCACAAUAAGAUCAAAAUUCACUUGCAAGACACAACAUCUGGCACUGCUAAGAUCGCUAGUCAGCUCCACGUGAUCUCUCACCUCCAGGACACACACUUGAGCAUCACUGACUUGCUGUAGGCAUCUUUAGGAAUCUGUAUUGCGUGAAUCGCAGGUUUGUAACAACAAGGACAGCAAGUUUCCUAAUUUGUAACAGAUGGUAUCUAGAUAAAAACUCCAUCCUGACAAUUCCUUCAUCUCCCAAACCCAGUAACUUCAUAAACUUCAAGUAUGCAUAAUGACUGUUCAAAGUAGGAAUUGAGAUAGGGUGACAGCAUAUAGGGCCUAAAACAAAAAAACCCUCUUCUUCAAGAAACUGUCUCCACAGAGGCACCGGGGCAAUAAACAAGUCACGUAUUUUAUGAAAACUACAGAGUUCUGAGAAAUCAUUUAUUGGUUAUGCUGAUCACUAAUCUGCAACUGGAACUAUAAAAAUAAACUCUAUAAUGAUUUGCUCUGUGUUUCAACUUAUGUUUGGCAUAUUUCGGUACGUAUUUCUAUUCAGUUCAGAUUAUCUAAAUGCUAUUUCCAUUUUCUUUACAGAUCUUGCUCACAAUUCUCGUCCAGCACGGACUUGCUGGACAAAUUUAGUUGUUGAUUGAUGAGCAAUAGCAGGUACGCCCUAUUACUACCACUAAUUCUUACUUAUAACAGAUCAGUUUGUUGAAUUUUUAAAUAUCUUAUAGGGUUACAAAUUACAUAAAAGGAAUUGGUUUGUAUCCAAUAAAAAUACCAAAAUAAUCCAACAUAAUGUGUGAAAAAGAGGAAUUUACACCUGUACCUUACAUGGAGAUCAAGUAGUUUUUAUUUACUAUGAAAGAAACACAGAAGGAAAUUAGGAGACAGAAAUAUUUACAAUUUAGACAAAUAUUUACCAUUUGAAAAUACUGAAAUAGAACAAGGGAAACAAAUUUUUUUCCCAUUUUUUGUUGCAGACAAGGUAGUCUUGAAACACAGAUAGCCAUUUUAAUGCAGGACCAGGUAAAACUAACACUGUUCAUAAAGAAAAAGAAAAAUGUGUUAGAAUGCAAAUUUAAUAGAUUUUCCUUUUACGUCAGUGAUCUAAAAAAAAAAAAAAAGACAACCAAAGUACAUUUCUAGAAUCAUCCUCCAUUUUUUUUCCACCACAGAUCUGAGAACAAGGAAAAAUAACACUGAAAAAAAGCCUUAUGAAUUUUUUCACUCACACAGGAAAGCUGAUACAGGUAAUUUCCAGUGAGGUAUGUCCAGAGGUGGGAGGGCUCAGUUUAGUCUUCUACUGAUAUAAUAGUUUUCUCACAGAUUUGCUAGAUACCUCAGAAGAAAUACUUUUGUGUUUUAUUUGGUUGAUCUCUGGCAUUUAGUUGGAUGAUGGACAGAUAGGGUUUUUUUAAGUAUACUCAGGCUAAAUUUGAUAUGUUCAAAUAGGACUAAUCUUUCAUUAUUUAAAGUCACACCUGGACAAAUGGAAGCUUCAUAGCCUGAAAACAAUAACUCUAUACAGAAAUAGGAAUGCUAUUAGUCUUGUUCGACAAAGGUCUGUACCAUUACGCAUAAUAUUUAUAUUAUUUCCCAUUAAGAGUUCAAAGAAAGCUGUCUUUUCCAGAUUAUUGAACAUUUUAAUGUGCUUAAAAUUGGUCAGAAAAUAAUAUUUCUUGAAACCUGCUGAAAACUUUAUAAUUUUCUGUAAAAGGGUAACCUAAGUUUUUCCUUACAUCUACUCCCAGGUGCUAACAGUAGUGGAUAGGCGUUCGAGGAAACGUAAAACAUUUCUUUGCACUCAAGCCCACCAGAAGUGAGGAACCAGGCUAAGGCUGGAGCAGGCAGACAAACACAUCAAUUUAGAAGAGCCCCUCAGCAAGGAGACUGUCCACAGAUGUUCGGGAUUCAAAAGCUGCUCCUGCAACACAGAAUGGAGGGAAGAAGAGAGAACAGCGAUAUCCUUUGCACUGAAUCCUCCUCCAGCUGCAGCAGAUGUAACAGCCAUGGGUGGUAUCGCUUGUGCUCCUACUGUCUGAGCGCUGGUAAAUCUGAACUUUGACAGUCUUAUUUUUACAUUUAUCUUUAAACUGCUACAUGGUUAUAUAUAUUUUUUUGAUUGGGAGAUAUAAAAUUAAGUCUCCUUGGGCUGUCAGAUUUUUUGCACCCCAGAGGAAUUCAGUACAAAAAAUGAAAAUUACACUGUCUGAUAGCCUUCCCAUCUACGGCAGGUAGCUCAGCGAUACAAGUCACCCAGCAAUAAGUUCAGGAGAAAAAUGGAGGAUAGAACAUUCUUGUUUAUUCAGAUGAAAUAUUUAUUCUCUGUGCAACUCAUACCAAGUAUUAAAAUCCCCUCAAAAAAGAAAAAUAAAACAAUUUAAUGGUAGGAUUUCUUAGCAUUCAUGGAGAACUGGUAUG